Molecule: ribosomal RNA, 533 nt
Filed under: uncultured bacterium
Lineage: Bacteria
Description: bacterial SSU rRNA
Rfam family: Bacterial small subunit ribosomal RNA
Source: RNAcentral
AUUGAACGCUGGCGGCAGGCCUAACACAUGCAAGUCGAGCGGAUGAAGGGAGCUUGCUCCUGGAUUCAGCGGCGGACGGGUGAGUAAUGCCUAGGAAUCUGCCUGGUAGUGGGGGAUAACGUCCGGAAACGGGCGCUAAUACCGCAUACGUCCUGAGGGAGAAAGUGGGGGAUCUUCGGACCUCACGCUAUCAGAUGAGCCUAGGUCGGAUUAGCUAGUUGGUGGGGUAAAGGCCUACCAAGGCGACGAUCCGUAACUGGUCUGAGAGGAUGAUCAGUCACACUGGAACUGAGACACGGUCCAGACUCCUACGGGAGGCAGCAGUGGGGAAUAUUGGACAAUGGGCGAAAGCCUGAUCCAGCCAUGCCGCGUGUGUGAAGAAGGUCUUCGGAUUGUAAAGCACUUUAAGUUGGGAGGAAGGGCAGUAAGUUAAUACCUUGCUGUUUUGACGUUACCAACAGAAUAAGCACCGGCUAACUUCGUGCCAGCAGCCGCGGUAAUACGAAGGGUGCAAGCGUUAAUCGGAAUUACUG